GGACGAUGCUUUGCCUUUCUGGCUGUCUCUUGAGCAGGGGAAGCCAUGGUGUUUGGCUGCAGUUCUGCCAGCGCCUGCUCACACACCCCCAGGUCCUGAUGCCUUUAAGUAACUGAGCAAAGCAGCCAUCUCCAUUCGUAGCAACAACUGUGCCACAUGUGAAAGAAGGAGAGAGUUUGAGCACUAUAGGCUACUCACAGGCGAUACGUCUGCAAACCCAGAGCCAAGACAGUAGAGUCCGGCUUUGCAGACUCGCCUUCCUGAAGUCCUUGGAAUGCUGGCAUUCCCUCUAGCACUUCUCCCUGCUUUGUAAUUAUCCAUUUACACGUCUAUCAUUCCACUCAAUUCUGAAUUCUCUGAGGACACGGACCAGGAAUCCCUACUGCCCAGGACGGUGUGCAGUGCAGAACAAGGCUCAGCAAAUGUUGAGUUGUGAAAUCUGGGAGGCUCUCUCCUGGCUGUUUGGGAAGUCAGGUCCUUUAGAGGCUAAGAAUACAGGCCUGGAGUCAGCUGGGCAUGGAAUUAAAGGCCUUUUCUCCCACUUAUUGGCUGUCCAAUUUUGGGGAGUGGGAAGCCAGUGAUGUGGCUUCCUAGUAGCUGUCCCCAGCCUCUAGACUGUACCGUCUGGAUCUGCAGAGGCCUGUUCACUGUCAUGCCUUCAUGCAGAUCUCUGGGAGCAGCGUGUGCACCAUGGAUGUUUAAGGAAGCUUAUUGCCAGCAAUGUCCAGAUGACUGGUGAGCCACAGCAAGAGAGGGGCCUGGCUGCGGGAGGGAUCCAGAAAGCAGGGAGCUGAUGGAGGUUUAGGAUUAGGACCUGAGGAAGGGAUGCUAGGGCAAGGAUGCGGGAGGUAGCAGUGGCCUGAACCCUCCUACACUCUGGCCACAGACUUGAUGUGGCAGGAGUAGUUGGGUGGGCAUUUUUCCGCCUGGCAGCAGAGGUCGCUUUCUGUCCUCUCCCCACACCAUACAUCACACUUUCCAACUCCACCAUACUCAACCCCCUAAGAAGAAGAAAGAGGAAAUGAGCUCCACAACACAGGUCUGUUACGGACUGAAUAUGUGUGUCCCCUCAAAAUGCAUAUAUUGAAGCCCUAACACUCCAGUGGGAUGGUAUUUAGAUGUGGGGACUUUGGGAAGUGAUUAGGGUUAGAUGAGGUCACAGGGUAAGGCCCCUAUGAUGGAAUGAAUGGCCUUAUAAGAAGAGGAAGGAAAAGACUAGAGAGCAUGCAUGCGCUGUCAGUCUCUCUCCCUCCCUCCUUGCCACGGGAGGACACAGCAAGAAGGUGGCCAUCUGCAAGCCAGGAAGAGAGGCCUCACCAGGACCCACAUCAGCUGGCACCUUGAUCUUGGACUUCCAGCUUCUAGAACUGUAAGAAAUAAACGUCUAUGGCAUUCUGUUAUGGAAGCCCAAGCUGACUGAGACUGCAGCCCUGCCUUUCCUUUUAGGGUACCCAAAAUGGAGUCCUGUGGCCAACACAAGCCGUGUGCCUCAUCUCUUGCCAUGUUCCAGUAGGGGGAUAUAGCUGUGGCCAAGACAAGUGGGGAGGUAUCUGGGGUGCUCACAGGCAGGGCCUGGAGAGGAGCCCUCUUCUGGGCAACUUACACAGGACUCUGAGAUACUCCUCAGCAUCUCCCCUCCUUGGUGCUAGGCAUGGUGUCUUGCACACAGUGGGAGCUUUAUAUGUGUUUGGUGAGACAUUGAUUAAAAAUAAUAGACAGCGAAUACACGCAGAUGUGGAGAGAGACGGAACCAGCAGUUGCUAGAUUGGAGGAAAGAGUGUAUUCCCGCCUCAGCCCCGCCCUGUCCACAGCUAUGAAUUAAUCUGCGGUGGGGAGCGGGAUUCCUUCAUUAAAAUCUCCAAAAAGGGAGUCAUAUUAACAGCCAGGCACACCGUUCUUUUCCCUCAAGGUAAGAAGAUUCAUGGCUCAAACUUACAUUUUAUCACGCACAACCGAAUAAAAAUGAUCAAUUUCCCUGCCCGCCUUACAGCAUCCUUCCACAGUUAUUAAAGUCUCUAAAAAUGUUUUCCUUAAAAAAAAAAGGUUAAAAGAAAGAGAGGUGCAGAGAGUGCAAACCAAGAAGAAGCUGGGAAAUGCUGCCUAGCUGAGGGCUAUCCAUCUUGUCAGCUGCAGACCACAUAACCUUGAUGUCACUAUAUUUUCUGCUCAUAUCCAAAUUUACAAUUUGCCAGCCAAGGAUAUGGAAAUGCCAAACCUCCCCCUUGGAGGUGGAUGCUGGAAGGUUCUUAAAGAGCCUGAGAGAGAGGAGCAUCCUAGCUCUGAAAACUCCAAAAAGACACUGAGCCUGCUGCUGGACUCUUAGCAAUUUUCCCUGAGUUGGGAAAAACCAGCCUCCAAGGUCAAGGAGAUGGAUUUCAACUCCAGGGCCACACACACAUUCAGCAAGAGCCCCUUUGUUCAUUGAAGAACAAGCAGGUUUCCACUUUGGAGGGCCAGAAAUGUACCUGUGCAAGUUAGGAAAUGGGAGGGUUGGGCCACGCAACAAACAAACUCUGGUGUAAACCAGAGUGAAAGAGAAGUGUUUAACCUACAGGAAAGAGCAAACUGCAUGCCAGCCCUGCAGAGCUCCGCCUUGCAUGCAAACACACAAAUGGGUAAUUAUACAUCAUUCAUCUAGUGGGUCCCCAAGAACC
This 2654-nucleotide long non-coding RNA is filed under the name Homo sapiens (human). RNAcentral describes it as "HSALNT0245048". Lineage: Eukaryota; Metazoa; Chordata; Mammalia; Primates; Hominidae. The record is from RNAcentral.